ACGUACACUCCUGCGGGAGGCAGCAGUGAGGAAUAUUGGACAAUGGGUGGAAGCCUGAUCCAGCCAUCCCGCGUGCAGGAAGACGGCCCUAUGGGUUGUAAACUGCUUUUAUCUGGGGAUAAACCUACUUACGUGUAAGUAGCUGAAGGUACCAGAAGAAUAAGCACCGGCUAACUCCGUGCCAGCAGCCGCGGUAAUACGGAGGGUGCAAGCGUUAUCCGGAUUUAUUGGGCUUAAAGGGUCCGUAGGCAGACUGAUAAGUCAGUGGUGAAAUCCGACAGCUUAACUGUCGAACUGCCAUUGAUACUGUUAGUCUUGAGUAAGGUUGAAGUGGCUGGAAUAAGUAGUGUAGCGGUGAAAUGCAUAGAUAUUACUUAGAACACCAAUUGCGAAGGCAGGUCACUAAGUCUUAACUGACGCUGAUGGACGAAAGCGUGGGGAGCGAACAGGAGUAGAUACCCUUGUAGUCCCAU
Molecule: ribosomal RNA, 473 nt
Filed under: uncultured organism
Description: partial 16S ribosomal RNA
Rfam family: Bacterial small subunit ribosomal RNA
Source: RNAcentral